Cyprinodon tularosa is the source of this 369-nucleotide long non-coding RNA. RefSeq lists it as uncharacterized. The transcript has 3 exons. NCBI's taxonomy places the organism in Eukaryota, Metazoa, Chordata, Actinopteri, Cyprinodontiformes, Cyprinodontidae. The record is from RefSeq and is a predicted model, not a curated record.
UGUGUGUGGCUGAGACUACAGGUUUCCAAUCAGAUCUCCAAUUGGAGGGCGUGCCAACCCGACAGGUGAUCCACCUGUUUCUCAUCUGGUGCAGCUCUUAUAAGGAGCAGCUGGACUACCCUUCACCGCCUGAUUGUCCGACUAAGUUGGCUCCGCUGUCACUCCAUCUGCCUGCCCGCUCUCCACCGUUUGGUCUCCAGCCCACCUUUGCAAUCCACAAGCCCCCUCCGGGAUCGGCUCAUCUUCUGAAACAUCUCCCCUAGUUCUGGGUUACCCGUGGCUUUCUCUCCACAACCCCCACCUGGAUUGGAGCAAUGGUCGAGUGGAGUCAUGGAGUCCAUAUUGUUUAUCCACUUGCUUGCAGUCAGC